CGGCCCCACGCACCAGGGUAA
RNAcentral lists this microRNA (21 nucleotides) under Rattus norvegicus (Norway rat). RNAcentral's name for it is "rno-miR-874-5p". Its record names the gene rno-miR-874-5p. The record is from miRBase by way of RNAcentral. Lineage: Eukaryota; Metazoa; Chordata; Mammalia; Rodentia; Muridae.